AUAGAGUCAAGUGAAUAAGUGCAUCAGGCGGAUGCCUUGGCGAUGAUAGGCGACGAAGGACGUGUAAGCCUGCGAAAAGCGCGGGGGAGCUGGCAAUAAAGCUAUGAUUCCGCGAUGUCCGAAUGGGGAAACCCACUGCAUUCUGUGCAGUAUCCUAAGUUGAAUACAUAGGCUUAGAGAAGCGAACCCGGAGAACUGAACCAUCUAAGUACCCGGAGGAAAAGAAAUCAACCGAGAUUCCGCAAGUAGUGGCGAGCGAACGCGGAGGAGCCUGUACGUAAUAACUGUCGAGAUAGAAGAACAAGCUGGGAAGCUUGACCAUAGCGGGCGACAGUCCCGUAUUCGAAAUCUCAACAGCGGUACUAAGCGUACGAAAAGUAGGGCGGGACACGUGAAAUCCUGUCUGAAUAUGGGGGGACCAUCCUCCAAGGCUAAAUACUCAUCAUCGACCGAUAGUGAACCAGUACCGUGAGGGAAAGGCGAAAAGAACCCCGGGAGGGGAGUGAAACAGAACCUGAAACCUGAUGCAUACAAACAGUGGGAGCGCCCUAGUGGUGUGACUGCGUACCUUUUGUAUAAUGGGUCAACGACUUACAUUCAGUAGCGAGCUUAACCGGAUAGGGGAGGCGUAGGGAAACCGAGUCUUAAUAGGGCGAUGAGUUGCUGGGUGUAGACCCGAAACCGAGUGAUCUAUCCAUGGUCAGGUUGAAGGUGCCGUAACAGGUACUGGAGGACCGAACCCACGCAUGUUGCAAAAUGCGGGGAUGAGCUGUGGGUAGGGGUGAAAGGCUAAACAAACUCGGAGAUAGCUGGUUCUCCCCGAAAACUAUUUAGGUAGUGCCUCGAGCAAGACACUGAUGGGGGUAAAGCACUGUUAUGGCUAGGGGGUUAUUGCAACUUACCAACCCAUGGCAAACUCAGAAUACCAUCAAGUGGUUCCUCGGGAGACAGACAGCGGGUGCUAACGUCCGUUGUCAAGAGGGAAACAACCCAGACCGCCGGCUAAGGUCCCAAAUGAUAGAUUAAGUGGUAAACGAAGUGGGAAGGCACAGACAGCCAGGAUGUUGGCUUAGAAGCAGCCAUCAUUUAAAGAAAGCGUAAUAGCUCACUGGUCGAGUCGUCCUGCGCGGAAGAUGUAACGGGGCUCAAAUCUAUAACCGAAGCUGCGGAUGCCGGUUUACCGGCAUGGUAGGGGAGCGUUCUGUAGGCUGAUGAAGGUGCAUUGUAAAGUGUGCUGGAGGUAUCAGAAGUGCGAAUGUUGACAUGAGUAGCGAUAAAGCGGGUGAAAAGCCCGCUCGCCGAAAAGCCCAAGGUUUCCUACGCAACGUUCAUCGGCGUAGGGUAAGUCGGCACCUAAGGCGAGGCAGAAAUGCGUAGUCGAUGGGAAACAGGUUAAUAUUCCUGUACUUGAUUCAAAUGCGAUGUGGGGACGGAGAAGGUUAGGUUGGCAAGCUGUUGGAAUAGCUUGUUUAAGCCGGUAGGUGGAAGACUUAGGCAAAUCCGGGUUUUCUUAACACCGAGAAGUGAUGACGAGUGUCUACGGACACGAAGCAACCGAUACCACGCUUCCAGGAAAAGCCACUAAGCUUCAGUUUGAAUCGAACCGUACCGCAAACCGACACAGGUGGGCAGGAUGAGAAUUCUAAGGCGCUUGAGAGAACUCGGGAGAAGGAACUCGGCAAAUUGAUACCGUAACUUCGGGAGAAGGUAUGCCCUCUAAGGUUAAGGACUUGCUCCGUAAGCCCCGGAGGGUCGCAGAGAAUAGGUGGCUGCGACUGUUUAUUAAAAACACAGCACUCUGCCAACACGAAAGUGGACGUAUAGGGUGUGACGCCUGCCCGGUGCCGGAAGGUUAAUUGAAGAUGUGCAAGCAUCGGAUCGAAGCCCCGGUAAACGGCGGCCGUAACUAUAACGGUCCUAAGGUAGCGAAAUUCCUUGUCGGGUAAGUUCCGACCCGCACGAAUGGCGUAACGAUGGCCACACUGUCUCCUCCCGAGACUCAGCGAAGUUGAAGUGGUUGUGAAGAUGCAAUCUACCCGCUGCUAGACGGAAAGACCCCGUGAACCUUUACUGUAGCUUUGCAUUGGACUUUGAAGUCACUUGUGUAGGAUAGGUGGGAGGCUUGGAAGCAGAGACGCCAGUCUCUGUGGAGUCGUCCUUGAAAUACCACCCUGGUGUCUUUGAGGUUCUAACCCAGACCCGUCAUCCGGGUCGGGGACCGUGCAUGGUAGGCAGUUUGACUGGGGCGGUCUCCUCCCAAAGCGUAACGGAGGAGUUCGAAGGUUACCUAGGUCCGGUCGGAAAUCGGACUGAUAGUGCAAUGGCAAAAGGUAGCUUAACUGCGAGACCGACAAGUCGGGCAGGUGCGAAAGCAGGACAUAGUGAUCCGGUGGUUCUGUAUGGAAGGGCCAUCGCUCAACGGAUAAAAGGUACUCCGGGGAUAACAGGCUGAUUCCGCCCAAGAGUUCAUAUCGACGGCGGAGUUUGGCACCUCGAUGUCGGCUCAUCACAUCCUGGGGCUGUAGUCGGUCCCAAGGGUAUGGCUGUUCGCCAUUUAAAGUGGUACGUGAGCUGGGUUUAAAACGUCGUGAGACAGUUUGGUCCCUAUCUGCAGUGGGCGUUGGAAGUUUGACGGGGGCUGCUCCUAGUACGAGAGGACCGGAGUGGACGAACCUCUGGUGUACCGGUUGUAACGCCAGUUGCAUAGCCGGGUAGCUAAGUUCGGAAGAGAUAAGCGCUGAAAGCAUCUAAGCGCGAAACUCGCCUGAAGAUGAGACUUCCCUUGCGGUUUAACCGCACUAAAGGGUCGUUCGAGACCAGGACGUUGAUAGGUGGGGUGUGGAAGCGCGGUAACGCGUGAAGCUAACCCAUACUAAUUGCCCGUGAGGCUUGACUCUAU
This 2899-nucleotide ribosomal RNA is filed under the name Neisseria gonorrhoeae. RNAcentral's name for it is "23S ribosomal RNA". It matches the Rfam family "Bacterial large subunit ribosomal RNA". Lineage: Bacteria; Pseudomonadati; Pseudomonadota; Betaproteobacteria; Neisseriales; Neisseriaceae. The record is from RNAcentral.